RNAcentral lists this transfer RNA (540 nucleotides) under uncultured cyanobacterium. RNAcentral's name for it is "partial 16S-23S ribosomal RNA intergenic spacer". The stretch from base 211 to 283 matches the Rfam family "tRNA". The record is from RNAcentral. Lineage: Bacteria; Bacillati; Cyanobacteriota.
CAGGGAGACAACAAAAUGUUUAAUAUUAUUAUUUUGUCACCUUAGGUCGAUCGGUAUCUCACGUUCUUAAUUCAUUAAGAAUUUCAUUUCCUAAGUUUUUCUAGGUCACACCCAUUAUUUUCCUGGGCCAUUAGCUCAGGUGGUUAGAGCGCACCCCUGAUAAGGGUGAGGUCCCUGGUUCAAGUCCAGGAUGGCCCAUAUCUCUAUGUUGGGGGUAUAGCUCAGUUGGUAGAGCGCCUGCUUUGCAAGCAGGAUGUCAGCGGUUCGAGUCCGCUUACCUCCACUGAUUACCACCUCUUCCAUAACCGGUAGAAGGGAAAUGUUUUGAGUUGUGAUCUAAUACUGAAAGAAUCUAGCUUCCUAAUGAAAUCAUUAAGAUGCUGGACUCAUUGAAUUAUUUUCAUUGUUUUCAGAGAACCUUGACAACUGCAUAGAUUAUUUUUAAAGACAAUAAGCAUCUUUAAUGAUGCAGAUUUAUUAUUUGUGCAAAUGCAUUAAUAACAAUUCUAUUAAGCUGAUGCUUCAAUUUUUGAAGUUAUU